Molecule: ribosomal RNA, 449 nt
Filed under: uncultured bacterium
Lineage: Bacteria
Description: partial 16S ribosomal RNA
Rfam family: Bacterial small subunit ribosomal RNA
Source: RNAcentral
CCUACGGGGGGCUGCAGUGGGGAAUUUUGGACAAUGGGGGCAACCCUGAUCCAGCCAUGCCGCGUGCGGGAAGAAGGCCUUCGGGUUGUAAACCGCUUUCGGCCGGAACGAAAUCGCCGGGGAGAACAUCCCCGGUGGAUGACGGUACCGGAAGAAGAAGCACCGGCUAACUACGUGCCAGCAGCCGCGGUAAUACGUAGGGAGCGAGCGUUAGUCGGAAUUGCGCGGCGUAAACGCUACGACGGAUGUUAAAUCCCCGGGCUUAACCUGGGAACUGCGUUUGUGACUGGCGGGCUGGAGUGCGGAAGAGGGAGGUGGAAUUCCACGUGUAGCAGUGAAAUGCGUAGAGAUGUGGAGGAACACCGAUGGCGAAGGCAGCCUCCUGGUCUAGCACUGACGCUCAUGCACGAAAGCGUGGGGAGCAAACAGGAUUAGAUACCCCAGUAGUC